AGAUUGAACGCUAGUCGGCAUGCCUAACACAUGCAAGGUCGAACGGUAACGAGGCCCUUCGGGGUGCUGACGAGUGGCGGACGGGUGAGUAAUGCGUUAGGAAUCUACCCACGAGUGGGGGGAUAAGCCCGGAGUAAAUCCCGGAUUAAUACCGUCAUAUGCCCUACGGGGUAAAGACGGGGGUAGUCGUAAGACCUCGCGCUGGUGGAUGAGCCUACGUCCG
Molecule: ribosomal RNA, 223 nt
Filed under: uncultured prokaryote
Description: partial 16S ribosomal RNA
Rfam family: Bacterial small subunit ribosomal RNA
Source: RNAcentral